CUUCUCUCUCAUCUCUCUCACAACUCACAUCUCACCAGAUCUUUUCACCAACCUUUUCUCUCUCUUUCUCUCUGGCGACUCAAGCACAUGCCAACGAUUAGGGUUUUGGUAAGAACCGCCAGAAGACUCAUAAUCUUAAUCGGCUUGAAGCGCAGCGUAACGAGCUCAAUUCUCGAAUUGUAGUUCUCAAUGCUGGUGAUAACAACGAGCAUUUCCAGUAACUCAUCAUAAUUACCUUCCUGUUGCUGGAGGUGUUAGCAGCCACACAUGCUAUUGCAGUGUAUCAGCCCCUGAACUUACUGUUUCAGAGAGUUCCUCCACCUCUAUAAAGAAGAGAAUUGUGUCGGGUGUCCAACCAACAGGAUCUAUACACCCUGGGAAUUAUCUUGGAGCGAUAAAAAAUUGGAUAUCACUGCAGUGAAAUUUUGAUGGGAGUCAAUCCAUGGUGGCCGGAGAACUCACCCAGGGUACGUUCAUGGUGAAAUUUUGCUUAUGCUGGCUUAGAGGACAAAGCAGUCACAAGUGACUUAAUUGAUAAUCAGUCAGAUAGCGGGUUGGACCAAGUGGAACAUAUGUCUCAGCAGAAACCAAACUCUGUUGAAUCUGAUAGCCAGAAAGGGAUGACGUAGAUAGUGCUCCAAAUUCUGGUCAGUUUUCGCCUGGGAAGUCGUAGCGGGCUGCUGUUUUAAAAAACCGAUUUGCUGAUACGAAAUUUAAAGCUAGAGACAAGACACUCAAUGAGGGGGAUCCUGAGAAGCUGCGUCGAGAGAAAGAUGAGCUAGAAAACCAAAAACGGAAAGAAAAAGCUCGGUUGCAAGCAGCAGCAGAGGCUGCCGAAAACGCAACAAGGCGGGCAGAAGUAGAAGCUGCGUUAGAGGCAAAGCGAAAGAGAGACCUCGAGAGGGAAGCAGCUCGUCAGGUGUUAUUGAAGCUCAUUGAAGAAGAGAAAGUGGAAGUUCCAGUGUCGAAUAUCAAAUAUGGUAUGGAUAAGGCUCCGGCUGAGGUGGCCUCUACGAAUGAAAAUGAUGUAAAUAUGCAGGAUGCUUCUUUGACUGAGAAUGGUGCUGUAGAAACAGGAGAUAAUCCUGUUCAGAUGGAUCAUCUAACCGUCAAAUAAUUUGCUAUGAUUUUGAUGUGAUGCGGCGGUCACUGGUUGAAGCUCCAAAGUAGAAUGUUAAAAAACCAACGUACCAGUUUCCGAAUUGGUCUAUGGGUCAAUGCUACCUGCAGACGUGCAGAAAGCAGUGGAAAAGGAGUUUGAAAUGGCGUUGCAAGACCGGGUUAUGGAAGAAACAAAGGAUAAA
Molecule: long non-coding RNA, 1304 nt
Organism: Helianthus annuus (common sunflower)
Lineage: Eukaryota; Viridiplantae; Streptophyta; Magnoliopsida; Asterales; Asteraceae
Exons: 10
Source: RefSeq, a predicted model, not a curated record